GAAAGGUGGAUCCUUUCAGAUGCUAGGCAGGCCUUAGCGUGCAUUUCUUGAAGCACCUUCCAGACUGUUAGAUACAGCAGCUCCUGUAUUUAUCAUGGUGACUUGAACAUCCAUUCAAGGGCCCCAAUUCAAAGAAAACGGGCUUGGCCUUUUUGUAAUCCAAGAGAAGUGGUUUGUGAGAUGUUUAUACAGAGUGUUAAUAUGAAGAGCGGGUCUUUCUACCAGAUAAAGAACCACAACAUGGUGUGUCAUUUCUGUUCAUGAUUUAGAACCUCGUGAUGCUUGGCUGCUGUAGCAUCAAACCAGCUACGGCAACACCUGCUCAGAUCUUGGGUGAGGGAACAAAAGAUGGAGACUGAGGCCAGCUUUCGUGGCUUUUCUGCAAAGCUU
This 390-nucleotide long non-coding RNA is filed under the name Bos taurus (domestic cattle). RNAcentral's name for it is "long non-coding RNA NONBTAT002756". Lineage: Eukaryota; Metazoa; Chordata; Mammalia; Artiodactyla; Bovidae. The record is from RNAcentral.